This 1059-nucleotide ribosomal RNA is filed under the name Aspergillus versicolor. Its description in RNAcentral is "SSU rRNA". It matches the Rfam family "Eukaryotic small subunit ribosomal RNA", at positions 53 to 1120 of the family's 1831-position model. The record is from RNAcentral. Lineage: Eukaryota; Fungi; Ascomycota; Eurotiomycetes; Eurotiales; Aspergillaceae.
GCAUGUCUAAGUAUAAGCAAUCUAUACUGUGAAACUGCGAAUGGCUCAUUAAAUCAGUUAUCGUUUAUUUGAUAGUACCUUACUACAUGGAUACCUGUGGUAAUUCUAGAGCUAAUACAUGCUAAAAACCCCGACUUCGGGAGGGGUGUAUUUAUUAGAUAAAAAACCAAUGCCCCUCGGGGCUCCUUGGUGAAUCAUAAUAACUUAACGAAUCGCAUGGCCUUGCGCCGGCGAUGGUUCAUUCAAAUUUCUGCCCUAUCAACUUUCGAUGGUAGGAUAGUGGCCUACCAUGGUGGCAACGGGUAACGGGGAAUUAGGGUUCGAUUCCGGAGAGGGAGCCUGAGAAACGGCUACCACAUCCAAGGAAGGCAGCAGGCGCGCAAAUUACCCAAUCCCGACACGGGGAGGUAGUGACAAUAAAUACUGAUACGGGGCUCUUUUGGGUCUCGUAAUUGGAAUGAGUACAAUCUAAAUCCCUUAACGAGGAACAAUUGGAGGGCAAGUCUGGUGCCAGCAGCCGCGGUAAUUCCAGCUCCAAUAGCGUAUAUUAAAGUUGUUGCAGUUAAAAAGCUCGUAGUUGAACCUUGGGUCUGGCUGGCCGGUCCGCCUCACCGCGAGUACUGGUCCGGCUGGACCUUUCCUUCUGGGGAAUCCCAUGGCCUUCACUGGCUGUGGGUGGAACCAGGACUUUUACUGUGAAAAAAUUAGAGUGUUCAAAGCAGGCCUUUGCUCGAAUACAUUAGCAUGGAAUAAUAGAAUAGGACGUGCGGUUCUAUUUUGUUGGUUUCUAGGACCGCCGUAAUGAUUAAUAGGGAUAGUCGGGGGCGUCAGUAUUCAGCUGUCAGAGGUGAAAUUCUUGGAUUUGCUGAAGACUAACUACUGCGAAAGCAUUCGCCAAGGAUGUUUUCAUUAAUCAGGGAACGAAAGUUAGGGGAUCGAAGACGAUCAGAUACCGUCGUAGUCUUAACCAUAAACUAUGCCGACUAGGGAUCGGGCGGCGUUUCUAUGAUGACCCGCUCGGCACCUUACGAGAAAUCAAAGUUUUUGGNUUNCUGGGGG